AUCCAGCUGACGAGUCCUAAAUAGGACGAAACGCACGUCUUGGAU
Molecule: non-coding RNA, 45 nt
Filed under: Schistosoma curassoni
Lineage: Eukaryota; Metazoa; Platyhelminthes; Trematoda; Strigeidida; Schistosomatidae
Source: RNAcentral